AGUGAACGCUGGCGGCGUGCCUAACACAUGCAAGUCGAACGAUGAUGAUGGAGCUUGCUCUAUCGGAUUAGUCGCGCACGGGUGAGUAAUGCAUAGAUAAUGUUCCCCUUAGUUUGGGAUAGCCACUGGAAACGGUGAUUAAUACAAGAUACUUCUUCUCAUUAUAAGAUGAGUAGGGAUAGUUUUGUCGUUAAGGUAUCAGUCUAUGUCCUAUCAGCUAGUUGGUGAGGUAAUGGGUCACCAAGGCAAUGACGGGCAUCUGGUUUGAGAGGAUGAUCAGACACACUGGGACUGGGACACGGUCCAGACUCCUACGGGAGGCAGCAGUGAGGAAUAUUGCACAAUGGAUGAGUGUCUGAUGCAGCAACGCCGCGUGGAGGAUGACGCAUGUCGGUGUGUAAACUCCUUUUAUUAGGGAAGAUUAUGACGGUACCUAAUGAAUAAGCACUGGCUAACUCCGUGCCAGCCGCCGCUGUAA
RNAcentral lists this ribosomal RNA (478 nucleotides) under uncultured bacterium. Its description in RNAcentral is "partial 16S ribosomal RNA". It matches the Rfam family "Bacterial small subunit ribosomal RNA", at positions 29 to 523 of the family's 1533-position model. The record is from RNAcentral.